AGAGUUUGAUCCUGGCUCAGGAUGAACGCUAGCUACAGGCUUAACACAUGCAAGUCGAGGGGCAGCAUGUUGGUUGCUUGCAACCAAUGAUGGCGACCGGCGCACGGGUGAGUAACGCGUAUCCAACCUACCCAAUACUCAGGCAUAACCCGUUGAAAGACGGACUAAUUCCUGAUGGUAUGUAUUUUUCUCAUGAGUUAUACAUUAAAGAAUUUCGGUAUUGGAUGGGGAUGCGUCUGAUUAGUUUGUUCGAUCAGUAGGGGUUCUGAGAGGAAGGUCCCCCACAUUGGAACUGAGACACGGUCCAAACUCCUACGGGAGGCAGCAGUGAGGAAUAUUGGUCAAUGGAUGAAAAUCUGAACCAGCCAAGUAGCGUGCAGGAUGACGGCCCUAUGGGUUGUAAACUGCUUUUAUGUGAGAAUAAAGUUAGGUAUGUAUACUUAUUUGCAUGUAUCACAUGAAUAAGGACCGGCUAAUUCCGUGCCAGCAGCCGCGGUAAUACGGAAGGUCCAGGCGUUAUCCGGAUUUAUUGGGUUUAAAGGGUGCGUAGGCCGUUUGAUAAGCGUGCUGUGAAAUAUAGUGGCUCAACCUCUAUCGUGCAGCGCGAACUGUUGAACUUGAGUGCGUAGUAGGUAGGCGGAAUUCGUGGUGUAGCGGUGAAAUGCUUAGAUAUCACGAAGAACUCCGAUUGCGAAGGCAGCUUACCGUAACGUUACUGACGCUUAAGCACGAAGGUGCGGGUAUCGAACAGGAUUAGAUACCCUGGUAGUCCGCACAGUAAACGAUGGAUGCUCGCUGUUGGCCUUUGUGGUCAGUGGCUUAGCGAAAGCGUUAAGCAUCCCACCUGGGGAGUACGCCGGCAACGGUGAAACUCAAAGGAAUUGACGGGGGCCCGCACAAGCGGAGGAACAUGUGGUUUA
RNAcentral lists this ribosomal RNA (920 nucleotides) under human oral metagenome. RNAcentral describes it as "bacterial SSU rRNA". It matches the Rfam family "Bacterial small subunit ribosomal RNA", at positions 8 to 948 of the family's 1533-position model. The record is from RNAcentral.